This 1885-nucleotide ribosomal RNA is filed under the name human gut metagenome. RNAcentral describes it as "bacterial LSU rRNA". It matches the Rfam family "Bacterial large subunit ribosomal RNA", at positions 1 to 1989 of the family's 2925-position model. The record is from RNAcentral.
UAAAGCAAAGAAGAGCGCAGAGUGAAUGCCUUGGCAUUGGGAGCCGAUGAAGGACGUGGUUAACUGCGAUAAGCUGCGGGGAGCUGUAAGCAAGCUUUGAUCCGCAGAUUUCCGAAUGGAGCAAUCCACAUGAAGUAGUUCAUGUAUCCAUACGUGAAUUCAUAGCGUAUGGAGGGGAACCGCCUGAACUGAAACAUCUAAGUAGGGCGAGGAAGAGAAAUCAACCGAGAUUCCGUAAGUAGUGGCGAGCGAACGCGGAAGAGGCCAAACCGAGAGAAGAAAUUCUUUCGGGGUUCGGACUGCAUUUAGUAUUCUUGAUCUUUAGUCGAACAGUCUGGGAAGGCUGACGAGAGAGUGUGAUAGUCACGUAGACGAAAAGGAGAAAGAGCGAGCAGUAUCCAGAGUACCGCGGGGCACGUGAAAUCCCGUGGGAAGAUGGGGGGACCACCCUCCAAGCCUAAAUACUACCCAAUGACCGAUAGCGUAAAGUACUGUGAAGGAACGGUGAAAAGAACCCCGGGAGGGGAGUGAAAAGAACCUGAAACUCUGUGCUUACAAGCACAUAGAGCACGUCAAUGUGUGAUAUGGUACCUUUUGUAGAAUGGUCCGGCGAGUUAUGGUAUGCAGCGUGGUUAAGGACUUCAGGUCUGAAGCCGAAGCGAGAGCGAGUCUGACAAGGGCGAAAAGUUGUAUGCCAUAGACCCGAAACCGGGUGACCUAGCCAUGUCCAGGCUGAAGUGGAGGUAAAACUCCAUGGAGGGCCGAACCGACCUCCGUUGAAAAGGCGGCGGAUGAGAUGUGGCUAGCGGAGAAAUUCCAAUCGAACCCGGAUAUAGCUGGUUCUCCCCGAAAUAGCUUUAGGGCUAGCGUUGUAUUAGAUUACCGGAGGUAAAGCACUGAAUGGGCUAGGGGCUGAGAAGUUACUGAACCCUAUCAAACUAAGAAUGCCGGAUAAUUGAUGUACAGCAGUCAGACUAUGUGAGAUAAGUCUCAUAGUCAAAAGGGAAACAGCCCAGACCCACAGCUAAGGUCCCAAAAUGGAUUUAAGUGGAAAAGGAUGUGGAAUUGCACAGACAACCAGGAUGUUGGCUUAGAAGCAGCCACUCAUUAAAAGAGUGCGUAAUAGCUCACUGGUCGAGUGACUCUGCGCCGAAAAUUCAACGGGGCUAAAAUUCAUACCGAAGCUUGGGCUUGACAGAAAUGUCAGGGGUAGGGGAGCGUCGUAUACGAGGUGAAGUCAUAGCGGAAGCGGUGGUGGAUUGUAUACGAGUGAGAAUGCCGGAAUGAGUAGCGAGAAUUAUGUGAGAAUCAUAAUGGCCGAAAGUCUAAGGUUUCCUGAGGAAGGUUCGUCCUCUCAGGGUUAGCCGGGAGCUAAGGUGAGGCGGAAACGCGUAGCCGAUGCACAUACGGUAGAAAUUCCGUAGCCUCCGAAGAUUUAAGCACAGGGACACUUUUGAAGGGCUGAGCCGGGCGUUGGUUGCCCCGGUCGAAAGGGACACGAUUGAGUGGAAGUCAGUUUGGAAAGAGGCGAGAAAAGCUGUGUGUAUAUGAAAGGAGCCCGUACCGCAAACCGACACAGGUAGACAGGAAGAAGAUUCUAAGGCCAGCGGGAGAAGGGUUGUUAAGGAACUCGGCAAGUUGACCCCGUAACUUCGGGAGAAGGGGUGCUUACGAAGGUAAGCCGCAGAGAAUAGGCCCAAGCGACUGUUUAGCAAAAACACAGCUCUAUGCUAAAUCGAAAGAUGACGUAUAUGGGGUGACACCUGCCCGGUGCUGGAAGGUUAAGAGGAGAUGUGAGAGCAUUGAAUUGAAGCCCCAGUAAACGGCGGCCGUAACUAUAACGGUCCUAAGGUAGCGAAAUUCCUUGUCAGGUAAGUUCUGACCC